This 699-nucleotide ribosomal RNA is filed under the name uncultured bacterium. RNAcentral's name for it is "bacterial SSU rRNA". It matches the Rfam family "Bacterial small subunit ribosomal RNA", at positions 8 to 692 of the family's 1533-position model. The record is from RNAcentral.
AGAGUUUGAUCCUGGCUCAGAAUGAACGCUGGCGGCGUGGAUUAGGCAUGCAAGUCGAACGAGAAAGUGGCCUUCGGGUCAUGAGUACAGUGGCGAACUGGUUAGUAACAGGUGGGAAACGUGCCUUUGGGUCUGGGAUAACUGUUGGAAACAGCAGCUAAUACCGGAUAGUGUUCUUGGGGUUUUGACCCUGGGGACUAAAGAUGCUUCGGUGUCACCUGAAGAUCGUCCCGCCCCUGAUUAGCUUGACGGUGGGGUAACGGCCUACCGUGGCGACGAUCAGUAGGUGGUCUGAGAGGAUGGUCACCAACACUGGGACUGAGAUACGGCCCAGACUCCUACGGGAGGCAGCAGUCUAGAGGCUUCCGCAAUGGGGGAAACCCUGACGGAGCGACGCCGCGUGUGUGAUGAAGGCCCUCGGGUCGUAAAGCACUGUCAGCAGGGAAGAAGGCGGUUGUGGUGUCCCACAGCCGAUUGACGGUACCUGCAGAGGAAGCCCCGGCUAACUCCGUGCCAGCAGCCGCGGUAAUACGGAGGGGGCAAGCGUUAUUCGGAACUAUUGGGCGUAAAGAGCGCGUAGGCGGACGGACAAGUCUGGUGUGAAAUCGCUACCGCUUAACGGAGCGCCGCCACUGGAAACUGUUCGUCUUGAGUGUGGCAGAGGUUGGUGGAAUUCCAGGUGUAGCGGUGGAAUGCGUA